Molecule: ribosomal RNA, 253 nt
Filed under: uncultured bacterium
Lineage: Bacteria
Description: partial 16S ribosomal RNA
Rfam family: Bacterial small subunit ribosomal RNA
Source: RNAcentral
UACGGAGGGGGCUAGCGUUGUUCGGAAUUACUGGGCGUAAAGUGCACGUAGGCGGACUGGAAAGUCAGGGGUGAAAUCCCGGGGCUCAACCCCGGAACUGCCUUUGAAACUCCCGGUCUUGAGGUCGAGAGAGGUGAGUGGAAUUCCGAGUGUAGAGGUGAAAUUCGUAGAUAUUCGGAGGAACACCAGUGGCGAAGGCUGCUCACUGGCUCGAUACUGACGCUGAGGUGCGAAAGCGUGGGGAGCAAACAGG